Molecule: ribosomal RNA, 487 nt
Filed under: uncultured bacterium
Lineage: Bacteria
Description: SSU rRNA
Rfam family: Bacterial small subunit ribosomal RNA
Source: RNAcentral
AGAACGAACGCUGGCGGCGUGGAUAAGACAUGCAAGUCGAACGGGAUUACUUCUAGUAGCAAUACCUGAAGUAAUUUAGUGGCGAACGGGUGCGUAACACGUGGGGAAUCUGCCGAGAAGUGGGGGAUAGCUCGUCGAAAGGCGAAUUAAUACCGCAUAUGAUCAGGGAAGACAUCUUUCCAACAUCAAAGCCGGGGCAACCUGGCGCUUCUUGAUGACCCCGCGGCCUAUCAGCUAGUUGGUGAGGUAACGGCCCACCAAGGCUAUGACGGGUAGCUGGUCUGAGAGGACGACCAGUCACACUGGAACUGAGACACGGUCCAGACACCUACGGGUGGCAGCAGUCGAGAAUCUUUCACAAUGGGGGCAACCCUGAUGGAGCGACGCCGCGUGGAGGAUAAGGUCUUCGGAUUGUAAACUCCUGUCAUGCGAGAACAAGCCGCAAGGUCUGAUAGUAUCGCAAGAGGAAGAGACGGCUAACUCUGUG